Molecule: ribosomal RNA, 497 nt
Filed under: uncultured bacterium
Lineage: Bacteria
Description: partial 16S ribosomal RNA
Rfam family: Bacterial small subunit ribosomal RNA
Source: RNAcentral
GAUGAACGCUGGCGGCGUGCUUAACACAUGCAAGUCGAGCGAACGGACCAGAAGUUUGCUUCUCUGAUGUUAGCGGCGGACGGGUGAGUAACACGUGGAUAACCUACCUAUAAGACUGGGAUAACUUCGGGAAACCGUAGCUAAUACCGGAUAAUCUUUUGAACCGCAUGGUUCAAAAGUGAAAGACGGUCUUGCUGUCACUUAUAGAUGGAUCCGCGCUGCAUUAGCUAGUUGGUAAGGUAACGGCUUACCAAGGCAACGAUGCAUAGCCGACCUGAGAGGGUGAUCGGCCACACUGGAACUGAGACACGGUCCAGACUCCUACGGGAGGCAGCAGUAGGGAAUCUUACGCAAUGGGCGAAAGCCUGACGCAGCAGCGCCGCGUGAGUGAUGAAGGUCUUCGGAUCGUAAAACUCUGUUAUUAGGGAAGAACAUAUGUGUAAGUAGCUGUGCACAUCUUGACGGUACCUAAUCAAAAAGCCACGGCUAACUACGUG